Wasmannia auropunctata (little fire ant) is the source of this 274-nucleotide long non-coding RNA. RefSeq lists it as uncharacterized. The transcript has 2 exons. The record is from RefSeq and is a predicted model, not a curated record. Lineage: Eukaryota; Metazoa; Arthropoda; Insecta; Hymenoptera; Formicidae.
AGGGAUGUCCUCGAAUAAUGGAUGAUGAUCGGGCCAGCUAUCGGAGGAGUUACUUAACUGAUCUGACAUAGCGAAAGCAAAUGACAGCAACGCCUGUGGCCGAGCGGAAAAUCACGGGCGUUACCUCGGCGGGGAGUCGCUCCGGCAGGUAGUGAAGACGGUAGCGAAGUAAAGUGUUAGAGUGAUAUGACAACGCGGCGAAUUCGUAUACUAUGAACUACGUGUGAAUAUCUAAGUGGCUGUAAGAAAUGAUUGUUUGACAAUAGCAAUAAAU